This 75-nucleotide transfer RNA is filed under the name Marmota monax (woodchuck). RNAcentral describes it as "tRNA.Ala". The record is from RNAcentral. Lineage: Eukaryota; Metazoa; Chordata; Mammalia; Rodentia; Sciuridae.
AGGGUUGUGGCUCAGUGGUGCAGUGCUCACCUAGCAAGCGUGAGGCAGCACUGGGUUCGAUCCUCAGCAUCACAU